This 241-nucleotide small RNA is filed under the name Pongo abelii (Sumatran orangutan). RNAcentral's name for it is "sense intronic". Lineage: Eukaryota; Metazoa; Chordata; Mammalia; Primates; Hominidae. The record is from RNAcentral.
ACCAAUGUAAUUUGCUUGUAUUUUCAUUUUUAUGUAUGAGCAAUAUAAUAAAAAUGUGUCUAAUGAAGUCUAAGAAAGCUUUUUAAGUAAGUACAAAAUUAAAUUCUAAGUGAUUUUUCCUAUGUGUAUAUUUUUCUUCAUUUUCCAGGCUACAUAUUUUUGAAAAAUGUACCAUUUGUCUUUUGUAACUUAAAACGAGUUCUCUGUUGUUUAUUAUAUAAAAUGAAUGCUUUUUUCCCAA